Molecule: ribosomal RNA, 253 nt
Filed under: uncultured bacterium
Lineage: Bacteria
Description: partial 16S ribosomal RNA
Rfam family: Bacterial small subunit ribosomal RNA
Source: RNAcentral
UACAGAGGUCCCGAGCGUUGUUCGGAUUCACUGGGCGUAAAGGGUGCGUAGGUGGUGGGGCAAGUCGGAUGUGAAAGCUCGGAGCUCAACUCCGAAAUGGCAUUGGAAACUACCCUGCUGGAGGUUUGGAGGGGGGACUGGAAUACUUGGUGUAGCAGUGAAAUGCGUAGAUAUCAAGUGGAACACCAGUGGCGAAGGCGAGUCCCUGGACAAAACCUGACACUGAGGCACGAAAGCUAGGGGAGCAAACAGG